UCGGCAUGUCUGCCGUCAGGACGGACACAUAAAUACCUGGACGUCCAGAUGCUGCUUUCACUGUCAGAGUGUCUGCAGGUGGACGACAGAAGAGGAGGCUGAGAGACAACAACAUGGUCCCACUGAGGCUGGUCGCCUUCGGCUUGCUGGCUGCAGCUUGGUACUUCACUCGUGCUGCUGAGGGAGAGGUCAUCUACGCCUGCGUCAAUGAAACUGCUGAGA
Molecule: long non-coding RNA, 222 nt
Organism: Epinephelus moara (kelp grouper)
Lineage: Eukaryota; Metazoa; Chordata; Actinopteri; Perciformes; Serranidae
Exons: 3
Source: RefSeq, a predicted model, not a curated record